AGCACGUCUGUUGGGUAAUUUGUGUAACCUGUGCUGUUGCCCAAACAAGUAAAGAAGAGAACUACCCCAAUAGCAAAUGGUUAAUGUAGGAACUCUGUAACGCCAGUGAAGAUGUAACAAAACUCCCCCUGGUUUCAUCUCACAGAAGGGAUGUUACAUCACACCAAUGAGUAUAGCUGAUGCUUGCUGUUUUUACCAGCAGCAGAGGAUUUGUCCC
This is a non-coding RNA of Pelobates cultripes (western spadefoot toad), 217 nucleotides long. Lineage: Eukaryota; Metazoa; Chordata; Amphibia; Anura; Pelobatidae. The record is from the annotation of a GenBank genome assembly.